Molecule: ribosomal RNA, 422 nt
Filed under: uncultured bacterium
Lineage: Bacteria
Description: bacterial SSU rRNA
Rfam family: Bacterial small subunit ribosomal RNA
Source: RNAcentral
UGAGGAAUAUUGGGCAAUGCCCGCAAGGGUGACCCAGCAACGCCGCGUGGAGGAUGAAUGUCGUAAGAUUGUAAACUCCUGUUAGAGGGGAAGAAUAGUACCGGUUGGACCGGUAUAUGACUGUACCCUCAGAGAAAGCCCCGGCUAACUACGUGCCAGCAGCCGCGGUAAUACGUAGGGGGCAAGCGUUGUCCGGAUUGACUGGGUGUAAAGGGCGCGCAGGCGGGAUAAAAAGUCAGUGGUGAAAUCCUACAGCUUAACUGUAGAACUGCCUUUGAUACUUUUAUUCUUGAGUUCGGGAGAGAGAGACGGAAUUCCAGGUGUAGUGGUGAAAUACGUAGAUAUCUGGAAGAACACCAGUUGCGAAGGCGGUCUCUUGGUCCGACACUGACGCUGAGGCGCGAAAGCGUGGGGAGCAAACA